Molecule: ribosomal RNA, 309 nt
Filed under: uncultured bacterium
Lineage: Bacteria
Description: bacterial SSU rRNA
Rfam family: Bacterial small subunit ribosomal RNA
Source: RNAcentral
UUCGGGCCUCGCGCUAUCAGAUGAGCCUGCGUAGGAUUAGCUUGUUGGUGAGGUAAGGCUCACCAAGGCGACGAUCCUUAGCUGGUCUGAGAGGAUGAUCAGCCACACUGGAACUGAGACACGGUCCAGACUCCUACGGGAGGCAGCAGUGGGGAAUAUUGCGCAAUGGGCGAAAGCCUGACGCAGCCAUGCCGCGUGUGUGAAGAAGGCCCUUGGGUUGUAAAGCACUUUCAAUUGGGAAGAAAGGUUGCGUGUUAAUAGCACGUAGCUGUGACGUUACCUUUAGAAGAAGCACCGGCUAACUCCGUG